CAACUUUCAACAACGGAUCUCUUGGCUCUCGCAUCGAUGAAGAACGCAGCGAAAUGCGAUAAGUAAUGUGAAUUGCAGAUUUUCAGUGAAUCAUCAAAUCUUUGAACGCACCUUGCGCCCCUUGGUAUUCCGAGGGGCAUGCCUGUUUGAGUGUCAUUA
Molecule: ribosomal RNA, 159 nt
Filed under: uncultured fungus
Lineage: Eukaryota; Fungi
Description: 5.8S ribosomal RNA
Rfam family: 5.8S ribosomal RNA
About the family: 5.8S ribosomal RNA (5.8S rRNA) is a component of the large subunit of the eukaryotic ribosome. It is transcribed by RNA polymerase I as part of the 45S precursor that also contains 18S and 28S rRNA.
Source: RNAcentral